CGUGCCAGCAGCCGCGGUAAUACGGAGGAUCCAAGCGUUAUCCGGAUUUAUUGGGUUUAAAGGGUGCGUAGGUGGCCUGUUAAGUCAGGGGUGAAAGACGGUAGCUUAACUAUCGCAGUGCCUUUGAUACUGACGGGCUUGAAUGAACUAGAGGUAGGCGGAAUGUGACAAGUAGCGGUGAAAUGCAUAGAUAUGCCACAGAACACCAAUUGCGAAGGCAGCUUACUAUGGUUUUAUUGACACUGAGGCACGAAAGCGUGGGGAUCAAACAGGAUUAGAUACCCUGGUAGUCCACGCCGUAAACGAUGA
RNAcentral lists this ribosomal RNA (309 nucleotides) under uncultured bacterium. RNAcentral's name for it is "bacterial SSU rRNA". It matches the Rfam family "Bacterial small subunit ribosomal RNA", at positions 504 to 812 of the family's 1533-position model. The record is from RNAcentral.